This 253-nucleotide ribosomal RNA is filed under the name uncultured bacterium. RNAcentral's name for it is "partial 16S ribosomal RNA". It matches the Rfam family "Bacterial small subunit ribosomal RNA", at positions 524 to 776 of the family's 1533-position model. The record is from RNAcentral.
UACAGAGGUCCCGAGCGUUGUUCGGAUUCACUGGGCGUAAAGGGUGCGCAGGUGGGUUGGCAAGUUUGAUGUGAAAGCCCCGGGCUUAACCCGGGAAUGGCAUUGAAUACUGCUGAUCUGGAGGAUUGGAGGGGGGACUGGAAUUCUUGGUGUAGCAGUGAAAUGCGUAGAUAUCAAGAGGAACACCAGUGGCGAAGGCGAGUCCCUGGACAAUACCUGACACUGAGGCACGAAAGCCGGGGGAGCAAACAGG